Non-coding RNA from Dermacentor albipictus, 397 nucleotides. Lineage: Eukaryota; Metazoa; Arthropoda; Arachnida; Ixodida; Ixodidae. The record is from RefSeq and is a predicted model, not a curated record.
UCUCGCAUAGCAGCUCUAAUGACGUCUUCAAGUACAGAGCGAAAGGCGAGAGCUGAGCAUGAUUGCGAUAAAAGGCUUUACCUUAAUGACGAAUUCGACAUGUGUCACGUUCUGUACCACGGGGGCACGAGAGUACAUGCACGUGCGCCAUUUCCCGUCACACCAAAGGCGCAAGAAUUAAAUCGGCAUAUGAUUAUCCGCUUCACUUCACCCUCGCCCUCGAGGAUCAACUAUGGGCCGUCCAGCGGGCCGAGGAUGCCGCCAGGACCCAAGAACUGCUGGCCAUCGCCUAGGCGGGGCCUUUGGUCCUCCCCACCAACUCGCAGGGCACGCAAUAAAGUUAUUCCCUCCUCCUCCUCCUAGCUUAGCAGCCCAUACAAAUACUCAUAUAAGUCAA